GACGAACGCUGGCGGCGUGCUUAACACAUGCAAGUCGAACGGAAAGGCCUGCUUUCCCUUGUGGAUUGCGGGUACUCGAGUGGCGAACGGGUGAGUAACACGUGAGUGAUCUGCCCCCAACUUGGGUAUAAGCCUGGGAAACUGGGUCUAAUUCCCGAUAGGACUGCAGGGUGGUGCCUGUGGUGGAAAACGAUUUUCUAGUGGUUGGGGAUGAGCUCGCGGCCUAUCAGCUUGUUGGUGGGGUAAUGGCCUACCAAGGCGGCGACGGGUAGCCGGCCUGAGAGGGUGGACGGGCACAUUGGGACUGAGAUACGGCCCAGACUCCUACGGGAGGCAGCAGUGGGGAAUAUUACACAAUGGGCGGAAGCCUGAUGCAGCGACGCCGCGUGGGGAAUGACGGCCUUCGGGUUGUAAACUCCUUUCGACCGCGAGGAAGCCACCUGGUUGGAAGGGUGGUGACGGUAGUGGUAGAAGAAGCACCGGCUAACUACGUG
This 494-nucleotide ribosomal RNA is filed under the name uncultured bacterium. RNAcentral describes it as "partial 16S ribosomal RNA". It matches the Rfam family "Bacterial small subunit ribosomal RNA", at positions 28 to 507 of the family's 1533-position model. The record is from RNAcentral.